Molecule: non-coding RNA, 626 nt
Organism: Callithrix jacchus (white-tufted-ear marmoset)
Lineage: Eukaryota; Metazoa; Chordata; Mammalia; Primates; Cebidae
Source: RefSeq, a predicted model, not a curated record
GAGAGCAGCUGGUACCCAUGGGCUGGGCGGAGCUCAGUGGCUCAUUGGGGAGUGAGUGGGAAUGGGGGCCAGCCUGGCCUUUUCCCCUUCUUUUUGGUACUCCCUGAAGUUUAAGAUCCACACAGACCUGGGAGGAGCUGAGACCACUACAUGAAAUGAAUCACAGAUGCAGAGUGCGCACGCAUGUACUUGGGGUGCAUUCAGAUAGGUAGCUAUGGGAGAGCGUGCCUGCAAAUGCCCGCGUGCACAAGAAUGUGGGCCACAGUGAUACCAGUACACUGGGAGAAGAAGCCAGAGGUACAGGAUCCAAUCACCUUCCCUGGAGUCUCUGCUUCCUGUCUCUGGGGCCUGGGCGGUGCCUUGGCUUCCAAGUCCUCCAGACCAUGACCAUAGAGGGACCGCCCAUUCGCUUGCUGCGCAGCUCCCCACGCAGCAGCUGCCUCCAUGUGUGUCCAGCCCUGGGAGAGGUGAGAGAGUGACUCUAAGGUGAGAGGGACAGUCCACAGCUUUGGUCCUGCCCCCUCCCCCACCAGGCCCUCCUCCAUCCUCCCACACGUAUUCAUUGUGGGAGGCCCCUGACACCAUUUGCACGAUUUCUGGUCACCAAAUAAACCCCGUAAAUUGUG